GAUAAACAUAUGGUUAAAUUAAAGGUGUUCUCACACAGUUUGAAUUGUACAAUAUACUAGGUGUCCACAUCCAGGUAGCAUACUAGCAUUUUUGUUAUUAUGAAACAUUUUUGUACUUUUAUUAUAAUCUGCUGAGCCUAGAGUUGGGCAAUUUGUAUAUUUAUUAUGACAAUCUUUUGGCGAAUGGUAGCAGAGCAUCUUGUUUUAACAAAAUUAUUGUUAUCACGACAAUUAGCCAGCAGGUACAAGAAUACAUCUUGUUCCAACAAAGUAAAUAUAUCUCUUUCAAUUUCAAAUUAAAAGGAAUAAAGUCAGUAACAGUGAGACCUUGCUGGUACAAGCAUAUGUAACAUGACCUGUGCUUUGCUGUUCAUGAUCAAAACUUCCUUACUUUUACUUUUUAUCUAUGGUAGGACCACCCAGAGCAGGUAUCCACAACUCCCAGGCCACAGACUGGUACCAGUCCAUGGCCUUUUUGGAACCACGCCACACAGGAGGAGGUGAGCAUCAGGCAAGCCAGAGAAGCUUCAUCUGUAUUUAUAGCCAUGCCCCAUGGCUCAUAUUACCACCUAAGCUCCGCCUCCUGUCAGAUCAGUGGUAGCAUUAGAUACUCAUGGGAGCGUGAACCCUGUUGUUAACUGCCCAUGCGAGGGAUCUAGGUUGUGUGCUUCUUAUGAGAAUCUAAUGCCUGAUGGUCUGUCACUGUCUCCCUUUGCCCCCAGAUGGGACCAUUUAAUUGCAGGAAAACAAGCUCAGAGAUUCCACUCAUUCUACAUUAUGGAUAUGUGCAGCCGAAGCAAGCACAAAGCCCCACUUUUACACAUGGACAGUGAUGAGUCACGAACAAGAUUUGGCUCUCAGUCUAACUAACCUACUUGAGAUCUCGAGAAUUAUCUCCAAAGGUUUCCUGUGAGGUAGAAUUAGAAAAUAUUUUUAAAUCUUGAGGAAGAGAUGCAAGUAGCUUGGGAGAUUUUCAUUAUCAUGGAAAAUAGAUCACUCAAGGGGCCAACCACAACUGGGUGCCCACUGCUCUAGGGAAGCCCACGCCCACCUGGGGAAAGGCCAAGCCCCUCCACCCACCCGCCAAGGAAACCCCCAGCCCAGCCAGGGGAAUGCCAAGCCCAGCCAAGAAAAGGUCAAGCCCAGCAAAGGAAUGCACAGGGAGGAAAUGCCAAUCCACGCGAGGACCACGAAGCGAAGCGACCAACGCCAAGCCAAGCAUGGAACGCCAAGUCAAGAGACCAACACCAAGCCAAGCGACGAACGCCAAGCCAAGCCGUUACAUACGCAUGCGCAGAACACCAAGCCAAGCUGCUGCGGCGUGCGCGUGCGGCGUACCUCAGAUGGCAAGUUACUGCACGUGGCAGUGUCCGACGUGUGCAACCCGCGUGCUUGUAAGUUCUGGUGCCACAAAUGUCAGUGACAGCCUUGUGUUCCCGCCAGACCUCGUGGAAACUGGCCAAGCUUCAGGCCAUUGAUAAGGAGAGGCAGCCCGUGGGAAAAGGCGUCUACAAGCAGGACUGGGGCCAGAGCGCCUGGUACUUGAGGAUGCUGACUGUCUCCUCUGAAGAAAGCCCCGAAGACACUCGUGGCGGUGCUGUGCCCAGGUGGCCGCGGCUGCAGGGGAGGGGCAGCCUGGCGGAACUCGCUGCAAAUGGCCUCAAAAUCGUGGAACAUAAGCCGCCCACGGUCUCCAGGCCCUGCUGAGCGGGGGGAGGAGCACGAGCACCUACCACUGACGGUGAGAUGCAGAAAGGCAUCCCUAUGUGCAGAUCCUGGGAACAGGAUGCUUUAAGCCCCAGGGAGCCAGAUCAGGCAACCCUGUCAGCACAGUUGAGCUGGACCCGGGCAGUGGCUCUGUGACCCUCCUGCAGGGACCCUCCUGCUACACAGCUCCACGUGGCCAGGCUCCAGGGUGCUCACCCAAACAGCAAGCGCUUUGGUGUGGGAUGAAAAAUGGAUUCCGAACCUAGGACACAGACCUGCUCUUGCCAACAAAAGUAGAGAGGAAGACAAUUAGGAGUGCAAAAAGAAUGUAUUCUUUUGUAACUCAAGUCUUGCCUGAUCUGGAGGGUUAAGCUAAGGCUCCUCUUGCUUGAUACUAAAUGAACUUUUGAAUGAAAUAGAGAAAAAGAAAGAAGACACACACACUAAAUCGCCUUGUCCCACUGUGAUCCCCUGAGCCAGCAAGCAAGGGGAGGCCUGGCCUCCUGGGCCCUCUCCCCACCUGAGGGCAGAGCAGUUUCCUCCAGGGUUGCAGGGAGCAGCUGGGCUCCGUGGGCUGGGCCACCCUUCCUUCGUUUAUGGGCAUCCCCACACCUGCACUCCCCCACGCAGAGUUCCAUGAUCUGGGUUCAAAUCCCAGCUCCGACCCUCAGCACCUGUGCCACCUGGCAAAUGCCUUACCCCCACGCACUUGCUGUGUCCUUCUCGACAGGAGGGAUGGGAGCCGGUGUCCCUGGCAUGCAGCGUUGUGACAGUCAAACACAAGCGGGAGCAGGCAGACACGUGGACAGGGGCCUGGCUGCUGGGGGUGCUCACCAGAGGGCAUCAACCCAUCUGCCCAGGUGGUCUUGCAAGUCUCAGCACUUAUUAGGCACCUGACUAUGGUAGACAGCUGAACAAAGCCCUGAGCUGCCCUGGGGAAUAUGACCAGGGUGAUGGACCAGGAAGGACAGUUGGGGUGCUUGGCAUGAGUAAGGAGGGGCCAGAGAAAUGCCAGUCUCUCCCCACCAGCUAUGGGUCAUGGAUCAUCUGUAUGGGGCACCCUCAGUGGGCUGAGAACCCAGAGAUGCCACAAGGUUUGGCCGCAUCCUAGGCUUCCUGAAUUCCAGCCCAGCCAUGGCCCAGGCUUGGGGGUACUUUGGGCUCUUAGUUGGGAUGAGGAGGGGCCAGGUGACACUCCUCAUAUGUCCCAGGAUCUGAUCAAGAAAGUGGUGCCCUGUCACUGCCUGGGACCAUCUGGUCUCAGUGAAACAAUUAGGGCAGGAAGACCCUAGCACCCACCUUCUGGGCCACGAACACCCAGGUCCACAGUGUGGCCACCUGAGUCAGCACCACUUGCCUUGGGAGCCAGAGCAUGAAGGCCCAGACAAGACUAGCAUGGUGGAGCAGUGGAUGCAGGUACGCAG
This 3131-nucleotide long non-coding RNA is filed under the name Homo sapiens (human). RNAcentral's name for it is "HSALNT0136342". The record is from RNAcentral. Lineage: Eukaryota; Metazoa; Chordata; Mammalia; Primates; Hominidae.